UACGUAGGGGGCAAGCGUUGUCCGGAAUAAUUGGGCGUAAAGGGCGCGUAGGCGGCAAGGCAAGUCAGCAGUGGAAGUCCCAUUUUCAAGGUGGGGAGGGCUGUUGAAACUGCGUUGCUUGAGUGCAGGAGAGGUUAUCGGAAUUCCCGGUGUAGCGGUGAAAUGCGUAGAGAUCGGGAGGAACACCGGUGGCGAAGGCGGCUUUCUGGCCAGUUACUGACGCUCAUGCGCGAAAGCUGGGGUAGCGAACCGGAUUAGAUACCCGCGUAGUCCCUGA
Molecule: ribosomal RNA, 277 nt
Filed under: uncultured prokaryote
Description: partial 16S ribosomal RNA
Rfam family: Bacterial small subunit ribosomal RNA
Source: RNAcentral